This is a non-coding RNA of Rattus norvegicus (Norway rat), 858 nucleotides long. Lineage: Eukaryota; Metazoa; Chordata; Mammalia; Rodentia; Muridae. The record is from RefSeq and is a predicted model, not a curated record.
GGGAGAAACUCCUUUCGCUGUGUAUUUUUAAAGUGGAAAGCAGGGUCACCCCAGUAUCCGACUCUGCUUCUCAGUGUGGGACCAUUACCUGUCCUUACACCAUGCUCUUCUUCCUCUUACAGGAUGGCUGGUAGUGUGAUGGAUAAGCAACAGAAGUCAAGUGGAUGAACGGGACUAUAGUAAACCGAAACACCUGUUUACACAUAGCAAAGGUGGUGAGAACCUGAGGAAGAAAUGACCAACAGGAUGGGAAGGAAACCUUUACAAAGUCGUAAGAGAUUAAUAGUCAAACUGCACAGAACUGGAAAGUGCCAACAGAAACAAAAGCAAACCAAUCACGGUUGUAUAUACAGAAAAUUAUUUACAUACAGACAGAAGACUGCUCUCUUAUGGACUUCUGUAUUCCCAGGGCUUUGGCGAAACAUUGGAAAGCUUCUCCCUACUCAGAAGCAGGCCUCCUGGUGUUAAGAUAGUGUCCAGUCUAUAGACAUCAAUCUAAAAGGCAAACAGUUUCUGACAAGGGCCUCCUGCGGCAUCCUCUGACUGAGAAGCAGCAGAAUGAACACACAGGUGCACAACGAGGGACCACACUGGCAGAGGAAGAAGCAGGAGUGAUAAGAAGAGACGUACAGUACCCAACUGUUGCGGCUAUCGAUAGACUGUUCUGACUCAGGCUGGAGGAGUGAACCUGUUUACUCAUCCUUCUUGGCCUCACAGGACUACUGGCUAUCAUCAGAGAGAAAUCCACCUAACAAGAUGAAAAUGCUAAUUCUGGCCUGGCUCAUCCACGCCUGUCCUCUUAGCGACUCGCAAUGCUGUGCUGUCUACUCUCUGCGGUCCAUCUAAUGUAAAUCAAUG